GUCGAACGAACUCUGGUAUUGAUUGGUGCUUGCAUCAUGAUUUACAUUUGAGUGAGUGGCGAACUGGUGAGUAACACGUGGGAAACCUGCCCAGAAGCGGGGGAUAACACCUGGAAACAGAUGCUAAUACCGCAUAACAACUUGGACCGCAUGGUCCGAGCUUGAAAGAUGGCUUCGGCUAUCACUUUUGGAUGGUCCCGCGGCGUAUUAGCUAGAUGGUGGGGUAACGGCUCACCAUGGCAAUGAUACGUAGCCGACCUGAGAGGGUAAUCGGCCACAUUGGGACUGAGACACGGCCCAAACUCCUACGGGAGGCAGCAGUAGGGAAUCUUCCACAAUGGACGAAAGUCUGAUGGAGCAACGCCGCGUGAGUGAAGAAGGGUUUCGGCUCGUAAAACUCUGUUGUUAAAGAAGAACAUAUCUGAGAGUAACUGUUCAGGUAUUGACGGUAUUUAACCAGAAAGCCACGGCUAACUACGUGCCAACAGCCGCGGUAAUACGUAGGUGGCAAGCGUUGUCCGGAUUUAUUGGGCGUAAAGCGAGCGCAGGCGGUUUUUUAAAUCUGAUGUGAAAGCCUUCGGCUCAACCGAAGAAGUGCAUCGGAAACUGGGAAACUUGAGUGCAGAAAAAGACAAUGGAACUCCAUGUGUAGCGGUGAAAAUGCGUAAUAUAUGGAAGAACACCAGUGGCGAAGGCGGCUGUCUGGUCUGUAACUGACGCUGAGGCUCGAAAGUAUGGGUAGCAAACAGGAUUAGAUACCCUGGUAGUCCAUACCGUAAACGAUGAAUGCUAAGUGUUGGAGGGUUUCCGCCCUUCAGUGCUGCAGCUAACGCAUUAAGCAUUCCGCCUGGGGAGUACGGCCGCAAGGCUGAAACUCAAAGGAAUUGACGGGGGCCCGCACAAGCGGUGGAGCAUGUGGUUUAAUUCGAAGCUACGCGAAGAACCUUACCAGGUCUUGACAUACUAUGCAAAUCUAAGAGAUUAGACGUUCCCUUCGGGGACAUGGAUACAGGUGGUGCAUGGUUGUCGUCAGCUCGUGUCGUGAGAUGUUGGGUUAAGUCCCGCAACGAGCGCAACCCUUAUUAUCAGUUGCCAGCAUUAAGUUGGGCACUCUGGUGAGACUGCCGGUGACAAACCGGAGGAAGGUGGGGAUGACGUCAAAUCAUCAUGCCCCUUAUGACCUGGGCUACACACGUGCUACAAUGGAUGGUACAACGAGUUGCGAACUCGCGAGAGUAAGCUAAUCUCUUAAAGCCAUUCUCAGUUCGGAUUGUAGGCUGCAACUCGCCUACAUGAAGUCGGAAUCGCUAGUAAUCGCGGAUCAGCAUGCCGCGGUGAAUACGUUCCCGGGCCUUGUACACACCGCCCGUCACACCAUGAGAGUUUGUAACACCCAAAGUCGGUGGGGUAACCUUUUAGGAACCAGCCGCCUAAGGUGGGACAGAUGAUUAGGGUGAAGU
This 1460-nucleotide ribosomal RNA is filed under the name Lactiplantibacillus plantarum. Its description in RNAcentral is "bacterial SSU rRNA". It matches the Rfam family "Bacterial small subunit ribosomal RNA". Lineage: Bacteria; Bacillati; Bacillota; Bacilli; Lactobacillales; Lactobacillaceae. RNAcentral also lists the same sequence under 1 other name. The record is from RNAcentral.